This 73-nucleotide transfer RNA is filed under the name Myotis davidii. It matches the Rfam family "tRNA". From Rfam's summary of the family: Transfer RNA (tRNA) molecules are approximately 80 nucleotides in length. Their secondary structure includes four short double-helical elements and three loops (D, anti-codon, and T loops). The record is from Rfam by way of RNAcentral. Lineage: Eukaryota; Metazoa; Chordata; Mammalia; Chiroptera; Vespertilionidae.
GCUGCUGUGGCUCAGUGGAUAGAGCAUCAGCCUAUGGACUGAAAGGUCCCAGGUUCGAGUCCGGUCAAGGGCA